RNAcentral lists this ribosomal RNA (516 nucleotides) under uncultured bacterium. Its description in RNAcentral is "bacterial SSU rRNA". It matches the Rfam family "Bacterial small subunit ribosomal RNA", at positions 1 to 512 of the family's 1533-position model. The record is from RNAcentral.
GGAUCCAGACUUUGAUUAUGGCUCAGGAUGAACGCUAGCGACAGGCCUAACACAUGCAAGUCGAGGGGUAACAGGGGAGCUUGCUUCCGCUGACGACCGGCGCACGGGUGCGUAACGCGUAUGCAACUUACCUUUUACAGAGGGAUAGCCCGAAGAAAUUCGGAUUAAUACCUCAUGGUAUUCUGAGUUCGCAUGAACUUAGACUUAAAGAUUUAUCGGUAAAAGAUGGGCAUGCCGUAGCAUUAGCUAGUUGGUGAGGUAACGGCUCACCAAGGCAACGAUGCUUAGGGGUUCUGAGAGGAUAGUCCCCCACACUGGUACUGAGACACGGACCAGACUCCUACGGGAGGCAGCAGUGAGGAAUAUUGGUCAAUGGGCGAGAGCCUGAACCAGCCAUGUCGCGUGCAGGAUGACGGCCCUACGGGUUGUAAACUGCUUUUUUACGGGAAUAAACCAUUCUACGUGUAGAGUGCUGAAUGUACCGUAUGAAUAAGGAUCGGCUAACUCCGUGCCAGC